AGCAGCCGCGGUAAUUCCAGCUCCAAUAGCGUAUAUUAAAGUUGUUGCAGUUAAAAAGCUCGUAGUUGAAUUUCGGGAUCAAUAUUUCGGUCAUGCCGUUGGUAUGCACUGUUAUCAUUGAUUUCUCACCUUCUAAAGAACCGUAAUGCCAUUAAUUUGGUGUUACGGGGAAUUAGGACUGUUACCUUGAAAAAAUUAGAGUGUUUAAAGCAGGCUCACGCUUGAAUACAUUAGCAUGGAAUAAUGAAAUAGGACAUCCGAUUCUAUUUUGUUGGUUUCUAGGAUCGAUGUAAUGAUUAAUAGGGAUAGUUGGGGGCAUUAGUAUUCAAUUGUCAGAGGUGAAAUUCUUGGAUUUAUUGAAGACUAACUACUGCGAAAGCAUUUGCCAAGGAUGUUUUCAUUAAUCAAGAACGAAAGUUAGGGGAUCGAAGACGAUCAGAUACCGUCGUAGUCUUAACCAUAAACUAUGCCGACUAGGGAUCGGAUGAUGUAU
RNAcentral lists this ribosomal RNA (493 nucleotides) under uncultured Glomus. RNAcentral's name for it is "SSU rRNA". It matches the Rfam family "Eukaryotic small subunit ribosomal RNA", at positions 569 to 1065 of the family's 1831-position model. Lineage: Eukaryota; Fungi; Glomeromycota; Glomeromycetes; Glomerales; Glomeraceae. The record is from RNAcentral.